Molecule: non-coding RNA, 407 nt
Organism: Cinara cedri
Lineage: Eukaryota; Metazoa; Arthropoda; Insecta; Hemiptera; Aphididae
Source: the annotation of a GenBank genome assembly
UUCGACCGGAAAUCACACUCGGACUCGUCCCGGACUUUCCACGUGACGCCCGCGCGUGCUGUCUCUGUCUCACAAAUAACGUACGACGUGACGAAUUUGCGUUCGGGAGGGAUACAUAUUUCGUGAUGUUAGUCUCUAUAUCACAACGAAUUCGCCUGUUAUACAACGUACAGAACGAUGUUUGUGUAACGUUUGUUUUCCCGAUAUUUUAGUUUUAAAACAAGAUAUUAUAAGCGUAACAAAGUGCCAACGUUGCACAGAUAAUGUUUUUUACAUUUAAGUUUGAUAACAUGGCAAUUCGCUCCAAUAUCAAAACUAACAGCGCUAUCUUGUCCCUACUGAACGAAAAUGUGAGACAAUACGUUUGUAAGACGGAGCUGAGGCGACACGCGGGUACAGCGUCCUCU